This 128-nucleotide non-coding RNA is filed under the name Pelusios castaneus (West African mud turtle). The record is from RNAcentral. Lineage: Eukaryota; Metazoa; Chordata; Testudines; Pelomedusidae.
GUGCUGUAUGAAAGGGGAGAAAGUUAGCCCUCCCUUUGAUAAGGAUGGAAGAGGUCUCAGUGAUCUUUACUACAUGCAUAUGGUUAAGGGACUGCCACUUACUUUACGGCACCUAACCAAGUUCCUCC